This 1869-nucleotide ribosomal RNA is filed under the name Triticum aestivum (bread wheat). RNAcentral's name for it is "partial small subunit ribosomal RNA". Lineage: Eukaryota; Viridiplantae; Streptophyta; Magnoliopsida; Poales; Poaceae. The record is from RNAcentral.
AUGAUGGGCUCCUCGGGCUCCGGCAAUGGCUCCCGCCACCUCGACCCGGGCCGCGUCCACGAGCUCGUCAUGCGCCGCAAGCCGUACGACCUCCUCCACUACCUGAAUUCCAUACCCGGGGCGUCCGAGGACCCGCACUGCCGCCAGAUCAAAUACGUCGCGGAGACUCUCCUGCUGCUCAUGCGAAGAGGUUUGGUUCCCGGAGACAAGACGCUGAUCGUGGAUUGGGCCCGAAACGCAUGGCUGAACGCGACCCAAAGCAGACUUUUUUCAUCCCAGAUGGUUGGUGGUGGUCCAUCCAAUUUUACUUCAGAUGCAGGUUAUAAUAUGCAUCCACACAAUUCAAGUUCAUAUUCUGGAAGGAUGUUGACCAAUGAACCUGGCAGUAAUGACUUCAGACAUGCUGCAAUGCAUAAUCAAUUAUCUGCUUCUAACCCAAGGAAUCAUACUGCAACAUUUCCUCCACAGCAAGCAAACUCAACUGAUGCAUAUGUUCCAUUGCGGAAUAAUUCUAAGCUUGGUCAUGAUAUGCACCCACACAAUUCAAGUUCAUAUUCUGGAAGGAUGUCGACCAACGAACCUGGGCUCAGAGAUACUGCAACGCAUAAUCAAUUAUCUGCUUCUUACUCACGGAAUCAUACUGCAACAUUUCCUCAACUGCAAUUAAACUCGAAUGAUGUGAUGCUUGAUGAAACAUUUGCCUUUAACCCUGGAACUCAUGCUUCAGCAUAUGUUCCAUCAGGGGGUUAUUACACACUUGGUCAUAAGAUGCACCCACAAAAUUCAAAUUCAAAUUCUGGAAGGAUGUUGACUAACAAACCUGGUAGUAAUGGGCUCAGAGAUACUGCAACGCAUAAUCAAUUAUCUGCUUCUUACUCACAGAAUCAUACUGCAACAUUUCCUCAACUGCAAUUAAACUCGAAUGAUGUGAUUCUUGAUGAAACAUCUACCUUUAACCCUGGAACUCAUGCUUCAGAAUAUGUUCCAUCACGAGGUUAUUAUACACUUGGUCAUAAUAUGCACCCACACAAUUCAAGUUCAUAUUCUGAAAGGAUGUUGACCAACGAACCUUGUAGUAAUGAGGUCAGAGAUGCUGCAAUGCAUAAUCAGUUAUCUGCUUCUAACUCAAGGAAUUAUACUGCAACUUUUCCUCCAGUGCAGGCAAACUCGAAUGAUGUGCCGCUUGAUGAAACAUCUGCUUUUAACUCCGGAACUCAUGCUUCAGCAUAUGUUCCAUUGCGGGAUAAUCCUACACUUGCACAAGCAUUCAAUGAACUCUUGGAUAAUAUUUUUUCGCCACAAAAGCAUGGUACAGGGACGGUCGGACCACUAUGGCCGUGCCACCCUGGGUCAGAGCAGAAAAGAAAAGUGCUGCCCACAGUAGAUAUCAAAGGAAAGAGACCUGCAUCGAUGAAGGUGACGACGCUGAGGUUGAACGUUGCUUCUUUGGUUGCAGAGGAUGGAAUUAAUAGUGCUGCAGGGGUGUUGAUUAGGAAUGGCAGCACGGCACAAUUCGUCGGUGCAUCAUGCUUUAGUCCGAUACUACGCAGGGAGCCAGCUCUUCUGCUUGCAGCUGCUUGUUGCAAAGGGAUCAAAAUCGCUCUGUCCUAUCAACCAGCUAGUAUCACGCUGGAGUCCCAUCUGCUCCCUCUGCUCAACCCGCUAUACGCCUCUUCGGAUCAACCGCCAGAUGUAGUGCAGCUGAAAGAAUUCCUGAGCCAGGGAUACCCACAUUUCGUAGUCCGGGACAUUCCAGAAGAAUCCAAUCGUGCUGCUUGUGAGUUGGCUCUCAAUGUUUUGCACCUACGGGAGUCCUAUAUGUUCUUCAAUGAUCCGCCAGAAUGGCUUGUCCCUUACCUAGAUCAGUGA